GGGCGGUUAGCUCAGCUGGGAGAGCACUGCCCUUACAAGGCAGGGGUCACUGGUUCGAGCCCAGUACCGCCCACCA
RNAcentral lists this transfer RNA (76 nucleotides) under Chrysiogenia bacterium. Its description in RNAcentral is "tRNA-Val". It matches the Rfam family "tRNA". From Rfam's summary of the family: Transfer RNA (tRNA) molecules are approximately 80 nucleotides in length. Their secondary structure includes four short double-helical elements and three loops (D, anti-codon, and T loops). Further hydrogen bonds mediate the characteristic L-shaped molecular structure. tRNAs have two regions of fundamental functional importance: the anti-codon, which is responsible for specific mRNA codon recognition, and the 3' end, to which the tRNAs corresponding amino acid is attached (by aminoacyl-tRNA synthetases). tRNAs cope with the degeneracy of the genetic code in two manners: having more than one tRNA (with a specific anti-codon) for a particular amino acid; and 'wobble' base-pairing, i.e. permitting non-standard base-pairing at the 3rd anti-codon position. Lineage: Bacteria; Pseudomonadati; Chrysiogenota; Chrysiogenia. The record is from RNAcentral.